UCGUUUUAGGGGGAAAAGAGAAGUAGAGGUGUUCGGGAGCAACCCUCGGAGAGAUCAUCGGCCGAACGUCGAGGGGGUUUCUAGCUCGGACACGCGGGCUCCGGUGGAGGGCCGCGACGGAGCGGGAUGGAGGAGGUUAGCGUAGCCGUUUCCUCGAGGAGACGGGGUCCGGUCGGUCGCGGGGAGAGGAGGAGAGGAGAGAGCCGAAAGGGAAGAGGAAGAUAGAUUAGAGAGAGAGAGAGGAAAAGCUUUUUUAGAUUAGAGGGAGAGUGCGCAAAAGAGGCUCUCGGCGGUACCUUGUUGGCGUCGUGGGUGGAACCUCUAGCGGCGGAGGCCGAUGGAGAGGUAGAACCAGGCCUAGACAAGGUAGGGCGACGGUCUCGUCGACCUAGGCGGAGCCGGGUCGAGCGGGCACUUCGGCAACAGGGCAGAGAGGAGAGACGGAAUGACACGUCCGGUGGCGGUAGCGACCGCCCGCAACUAUGUAGUAAACCAGCAACCACAUGGAGAGAAACCAAGGAAGGAAGGAGCGACUAUGGGUCGUCCGAUGGAGGCCGGUGGAGAGGUAGAGCUAGGCCUAGACGAGGCAGGUCGGCAGCCUCGUCGGUCUAGGCGGAGGCCGGAUAAGAAGAAACAUAGAGUACCCUUCCUCUUCCUCCGCGUCCGUGGUACCUUCCACGCUCGAGCGCAGCGCACGUUCGUCCCUACACUACCGCGCUUCACCGACGCCUCCUCCUCCCGCUGCGCUCCCUAUACCUGUCUCCUCUGCCUCGACCGACGCCGACCUCAUCGCUGUGAGGCACGCUACCGGUCAAUAAAAAAAUUGUUUUGCCAGGCCUAGUUGAUUUUAUUUUAUCCGUGACGUCCAAUUAAAAUCUUUUGACAUCCCUGAUAAAUUUUUUCCGCACUGCCACUUGGGUCUCUGAGUUAGGCACGAAAUAAUAAUCCCUCUCUAUUCUUUGGAUUACACCAAGAUUAGAAGAGGGAGAUUAAGAGGUUGCUGCUAAUCAAAACGUACCGCUUCGCGACGGCCUAACACUUCCAACGUGCGAACGUUGGUUCAUCUCUCCAGCACGAAAACCAGAAACCAAGCUCCCUGACAAGUACCCGCCAUGCUCCCUAGUAAGUAGCCGCCAAACUCCCUGAAGUUCAUGCUAGAUGUGGCUGUACAAGAAGGGAGCGACGUUGAGCCACUGCUACCUACGUUCUACCUUCUUCACCGGUCUUUCCCUGUUCUCCCUUACUUUGAAGAACGACUUGAACGUUUCCUCCGACGAUAGUACCCUUUGGAUCCAUUGACAUUCAUUUAGAUCACGGGGAAUCACUAAAACCACAUAACUUCUGAAUAUCCAAUUCCCUGGCUAAGCAAACACUCACAUGUGUCCAGAUAUUCAGAUACUCCUCAAACUAUAAAUGUGUGUUUCAGCUGGGGAUUUUUACUUCAAGAAGCUGACUUCUGAAACCUAAAGACUUCUGAAAGACUUCUGAAACUUUCACUUCUUUAACCACACUAGGACUUCUGAACCAUAACUAAGCUCCUUGUACUUCGUACUUAUGAAAACAAAAGUAUCAAAGUAAAAGAGAAAGAACUCAGUAUCCUUUGUGGCAUGACAAUUUCCCCCAGCUCCUUUAUGAUUCCUUUUUAAAGGUUCACUACGAGUUGAGUUUAGGAUGUAGAUGGUUAGGGAAGCUCAGUUCGGUAACCUUUAGAGUAUGUCAAGUCAGUUUAAAGAAGUCACUGUCUCUGCUUAAAGAAAACCAGAGACCCCUUAAACAAGACUGACUCCUCAAACUAUUGGGUGUUAAUAUCCCCUAGUGUUAUCAAAAGCUCCCAUCUCAUAAGUGGGGUUUAAAUAACUAAACUGUGUUCCCCUCGGUUUCUUAUAAGAGUUCAUAAUCGUCGACUCAAUAGUUAAGUUGGUGUGGACCUUUGAAUUAUAGACGUCGUUUCACAAAUCAUCGUUCCAUUAUACUAUCAUCACUAUUGCCAUCGUUUUCCAUAGUCAUCAUUUUCAUUAUAAAAACCAUAAAACAUCACUACUAUCGUUAUCGUUGUCUUUUCAUUUAUUCGC
Molecule: ribosomal RNA, 2072 nt
Filed under: Triticum aestivum (bread wheat)
Lineage: Eukaryota; Viridiplantae; Streptophyta; Magnoliopsida; Poales; Poaceae
Description: partial small subunit ribosomal RNA
Source: RNAcentral